ACCGGCAGCUCAAGUGGUGGCCAUUUUUAUUGGGCCUAAAGCGUUCGUAGCCGGUUUGAUAAGUCUCUGGUGAAAUCCCGCAGCUUAACUGUGGGACUUGCUGGAGAUACUAUUAGACUUGAGGUCGGGAGAGGUUAGGGGUACUCCCAGGGUAGGGGUGAAAUCCUAUAAUCCUGGUAGUCCCUCCUUUGUCUAAGGCGCCUAACUUUCUCCCACCUCUCUUUGUUUCCCCUUCUCCUUUUUCUCCUUCCG
This 252-nucleotide ribosomal RNA is filed under the name uncultured prokaryote. RNAcentral's name for it is "partial 16S rRNA". It matches the Rfam family "Archaeal small subunit ribosomal RNA", at positions 475 to 726 of the family's 1478-position model. The record is from RNAcentral.